RNAcentral lists this ribosomal RNA (312 nucleotides) under Triticum aestivum (bread wheat). RNAcentral's name for it is "partial small subunit ribosomal RNA". Lineage: Eukaryota; Viridiplantae; Streptophyta; Magnoliopsida; Poales; Poaceae. The record is from RNAcentral.
AUGCGCAUGUUGAGGUGGAUGUGUGGCCACACAGGAAAGGAUCGGGUAUGGAAUGAUGUUAUAUGGGAUUGGGGUAGCACCGAUUUAAGAGAAGUUUGUCCAACAUCGUCAAAGAUGGUUUGGGUAUAUUCAGCGCAGGCCUCUCCUAUGCAUAGCGGACGGCGUGAUGAUAAUGUCAAGAGAGGUCGGGGUAGACCGAACUUGACAAGGGAGGAGUCCGUAAAGAGGGAUCUGAAGGACUGGAGUAUCGACAAAGAACUAGCCAUGUACAGGGAUGCAUGGAAGCUAGCUAUCCAUGUGCCAGAACCAUGA